This 643-nucleotide long non-coding RNA is filed under the name Rattus norvegicus (Norway rat). RNAcentral describes it as "long non-coding RNA NONRATT020556". Lineage: Eukaryota; Metazoa; Chordata; Mammalia; Rodentia; Muridae. The record is from RNAcentral.
GUUAUCAGCCAGGGCAGGACAGCUCCUCAAUCAGGCAAAAUUCCUAUGUUCCAGAGCUCAGCGUUGCCAUUUACUGAGCGACCAUGGCAUUAGUCACGCUGUCCCUCUGCAUCUCUGGCUCCUUGUACCCAGGAUAGGGGUCACAAUCACGCCUUCCCCCUGUGGUGCUGGUGAAGAUACAUGGAGCACAGAGCCUGAUGCCAACGGGAGGCAAACCCACUCUACCCACAAGAGGACCAAGGUUGCUGGUGGAAGAAAGUAGCCAACAGAAUGGGAGCGAGAGAAACGCUGUUUGAAUCCAUACCAACAGUCUGAAAGUGCUUCUGUCUCCACGUCUCUGGGGCUCUGUUUGCAUGAAGAGGAAAAAAAGUCUUCAUGCACACACACAGCCCAGAAAGCAUCCAGUUGCUCCCGGGCCGCCUGCCAGCAAUUGAGUGACCUGCAGCUUCCUCCCCAAAUCACAUUCCACUGGCACGGAUCUUGCCCCGCCUGACGCCAGCCUCCGAACUCGCCCCCAGAGCAAACAUUUCCAGUUGGCAGCCUGGCCUUGUUUUUCUGAGGCCCUAAUUCAGUCUCCCUUGUAGAAAACAGAAAACAAAAUGUGUGGGACCAAAAACUGCAACAAAAUAAACUUUUAGAACGA